GAUGAACGCUGGCGGCGUGCCUAAUACAUGCAAGUCGAGCGAAUGGAUUAAGAGCUUGCUCUUAUGAAGUUAGCGGCGGACGGGUGAGUAACACGUGGGUAACCUGCCCAUAAGACUAGGAUAACUCCGGGAAACCGGGGCUAAUACCGGAUAACAUUUUGAACCGCAUGGUUCGAAAUUGAAAGGCGGCUUCGUCUGUCACUUAUGGAUUGACCCGCGUCGCAUUAGCUAGUUGGUGAGGUAACGGCUCACCAAGGCAACGAUGCGUAGCCGACCUGAGAGGGUGAUCGGCCACACUGGGACUGAGACACGGCCCAGACUCCUACGGGAGGCAGCAGUAGGGAAUCUUCCGCAGUGGACGAAAGUCUGACGGAGCAACGCCGCGUGAGUGAUGAAGGCUUUCGGGUCGUAAAACUCUGUUGUUAGGGAAGAACAAGUGCUAGUUGAAUAAGCUGGCACCUUGACGGUACCUAACCAGAAAGCCACGGCCAACUACGUGCCAGCAGCCGCGGUAA
Molecule: ribosomal RNA, 515 nt
Filed under: uncultured bacterium
Lineage: Bacteria
Description: partial 16S ribosomal RNA
Rfam family: Bacterial small subunit ribosomal RNA
Source: RNAcentral